This 492-nucleotide ribosomal RNA is filed under the name uncultured bacterium. Its description in RNAcentral is "partial 16S ribosomal RNA". It matches the Rfam family "Bacterial small subunit ribosomal RNA", at positions 29 to 507 of the family's 1533-position model. The record is from RNAcentral.
AGUGAACGCUGGCGGUAGGCCUAACACAUGCAAGUCGAACGGCAGCACAGUAAGAGCUUGCUCUUACGGGUGGCGAGUGGCGGACGGGUGAGGAAUACAUCGGAAUCUACUUUUUCGUGGGGGAUAACGUAGGGAAACUUACGCUAAUACCGCAUACAACCUACGGGUGAAAGCAGGGGAUCUUCGGACCUUGCGCGAUUGAAUGAGCCGAUGUCGGAUUAGCUAGUUGGCGGGGUAAAGGCCCACCAAGGCGACGAUCCGUAGCUGGUCUGAGAGGAUGAUCAGCCACACUGGAACUGAGACACGGUCCAGACUCCUACGGGAGGCAGCAGUGGGGAAUAUUGGACAAUGGGCGCAAGCCUGAUCCAGCCAUACCGCGUGGGUGAAGAAGGCCUUCGGGUUGUAAAGCCCUUUUGUUGGGAAAGAAAAGCAGCAGGCUAAUACCCCGCUGUUCUGACGGUACCCAAAGAAUAAGCACCGGCUAACUUCGUG